Cyprinus carpio (common carp) is the source of this 1887-nucleotide long non-coding RNA. The record is from Ensembl. Lineage: Eukaryota; Metazoa; Chordata; Actinopteri; Cypriniformes; Cyprinidae.
AUGUUUACUCAACUCAACUGUUUCCUUUCUGUUUUUCUGUCACAGUGUUUACAGAUAGAAAGACAAAGUCAGUGUAUUGUUCACUUAUUUGGAUCUUCUUUUAUCAUUACAUCGAACAUCAACAUGAGUUUGUUAACCAUCACCAAAAGUUUUCCCGAGAGUACAGUGCAGUCCUCAUCUCCUGAACUCUCAGAUGAGCUCACCACUGCCCUCGCCGCAGGGCGAUGGUGGGCAAUAAUGGAGGUUUCUUCUCCUAUAUCUGAAGAGUCUGAGUAUGGGGACUUCACCUCAGUGCAGUGGUGGGGAACAAUGGAGGAAGGAGAAACUUCAUGCCCCAAGUCUCUGGUCUUCAGUGGUGAAUCUGAGAAGGCUGAGUCCCCGCACUCAGGCUUCCCAGCUGCAACACUGAAGACCAAGGAGCUGUGGAGGCAGAAGAAGACACAGGGUGCACCCGUGCCUCCCAGGUCCCAACAGGGAGCACCUGUGCAUGCAAAUACCAAGAAGAGGGACCACACCUCAUCCCUGGUCUUCAACUAUGCAUCUAAGAAGGCUGACUCUCCACACUCAGGCUUUACAGAUGCAACAAUGAAGACCACGGAGCAGCAGAGGAAGUGGAGGCAGAAGAAGCCUCAGGUAGCACCUGAGCCUGCUGGGUACCCGCAGGGACCAUCUGUGACCACUGGCUCUCAACGAAGAGGAAAGGUCAUGAUCCCCGAGCAUCUGAGGCAACAUCUGCUUAGGGCCGCUUCUGAACUGGAAGCACCUGUGCAAGCUAGGUCCCCACAGAGAGCACCAGUGCCCACAGCAUCUCCUCAACACACACCCAUGUGCACCAAGUCUCUACAGACAGAAGCUAUGCCUGCCCCAAAGGUGCCAAAACCAAAGAUCCCUGAGCAGCUGAGGCAAGAGCUGCUGCAGCAGAAGCCCAACGAGACCCAAGAGAGGCAAAGGCUCAAGAUACCUGAGCGACCGAGGCAGGAGCUGCUGCAGCUGUCGGCUCGAGCCUCUUCUGUUCAAGGAGGACCUGCGCCCAACGAGACCCCAGAGAGGCAAAGGCUCAAGAUACCUGAGCGACUGAGUCAGGAGUUGCUGCAGCUGUCGGCUCGAGCCACUUCUGAUCAAGUAGCCCAUGCGCCCAACGAGACCCAAGAGAGGCAAAGGCUCAAGAUGCCUGAGCGACUGAGGCAGGAGCUGCUGCAGCUGUCGGCUCGAGCCGCUUCUGUUCAAGGAGCACCUGUGCCUCAAAAGACCCCAGAGAGGCAAAGACUAAAACUCCCUCAGCCGCUGAGGCAGGAACUCCUGCAGGUUUCGUCUUGUGCCUCUUCUGAGAAGGGAGCACCUGUGCCUCAAAAGACCCAAGAGAGGCAAAAGCUCAAGAUGCCUGAGCGACUGAGGAAGGAGUUGCUGCAGCAGAAGCAUCAAGCCUCUCCUGUACAGGGUGCUCCCAUGCCUUCCAAGUCCCCACAGGAAGCACCUUUACCUUACAGGAACCCUGUGCAUGCCGGGACCCCACAGGGAGCAGGAGUGUUUGCAGAGGCACUGUCCGCUGAGCCUCUGAAAGGAAUAACAGUUCCCUCCAGAACCAUGAAGACAAGAAAACGGAGGCUUGCUGAGCAUCAAAGCAUUCCUGUCUCUGCCACCCAGGCACUACCCAUGCCCUCCAGGACCUCAAGCGUGACGCCUGUGCAUUCUGGGACCCUACAGGGAGCACUUGUGACCAAAAGUUCCCCACAACAGGGAUCAAAUCCCAGAAUCACUGAGCAGCAGAGGCAGAAGCGGAGGGAGCAGUGGAGACAGCAGCAGAGACAGCGGAGGCAGCAGAAAGCAUCAGUAAGUCCCUUCCAUCUCUUGUUUUUACUUAUUUUCAGAUUUAUUCUAAAAAAUUAA